This 368-nucleotide ribosomal RNA is filed under the name uncultured organism. Its description in RNAcentral is "bacterial SSU rRNA". It matches the Rfam family "Bacterial small subunit ribosomal RNA", at positions 526 to 896 of the family's 1533-position model. The record is from RNAcentral.
CGGAGGGUGCAAGCGUUAUCCGGAUUCACUGGGUUUAAAGGGUGCGUAGGUGGGUUGGUAAGUCAGUGGUGAAAUCUCCGAGCUUAACUUGGAAACUGCCAUUGAUACUAUCAGUCUUGAAUAAUGUGGAGGUCAGCGGAAUAUGUCAUGUAGCGGUGAAAUGCUUAGAUAUGACAUAGAACACCAAUUGCGAAGGCAGCUGGCUACACAUAUAUUGACACUGAGGCACGAAAGCGUGGGGAUCAAACAGGAUUAGAUACCCUGGUAGUCCACGCCCUAAACUAUGGAUACUCGACAUACGCGAUACACAGUGUGUGUCUGAGCGAAAGCAUUAAGUAUCCCACCUGGGAAGUACGAUCGCAAGAUUG